GUGGGAAGCAACUACACGACUUUAAACCGUUUUAAGAGGCAUGAUGGAUUGGAGAUUUGGCGGAUGAAUCAUUCAGUGUGGAAGUAGACGAACAGGCAUGAUGAGGUUGUGCACAAAAGCUGGUUGGAAUGAUGAGGGUGUGACUUCAGUCACAGGAGUGAUGGAGAGGCAUAACACCAUCUGAGAGAUGUGAACAGAUUUUGUGAACAAUUUGGCAUGAGGAGAGAAAGGAACCUGAAGUUUUUAGCAAGGAAGGGCCCUGAUGAUGGUUGCCUUCAACAUUGCCUCAAUACUCAACAUCCAAGACAGCCCUGGCUUAGCAACUGGAAUCACGGAUGGGGAAAAUUUUUUCUCAAGCACAUGUGAAAUUUGGCUGUCAGACCACCUUCAUCUGCACAGAAAGCUAAAUGUAUUGCCUAGUUUUGCAACUUCAUAUGACUGUUCGCCAAACUGGAAUAAUUGUUGCAUUUGUGUGUGACUUCUCAGUAUUCCUAUGGCAUUACCACCAUAGCACCCCUAUGUCAAAUGGUGAAAGAAUUAGGUGAGGUUUUGUGAACGUUUAGAGUAACUUUGUUUUUUUGCAUCAACAUUCAAGAAGCACUCCUUCCCUUCCACUGCAGUAGAACCUUGAGGUCCCUCUCAGAUUUCUGUGGGGUGUCUGUGGUCUGCUGGAGCAUGGCCAGGUCUGGGCAGCUGUCACUUUCCUUCUGCUUCCCAGUACAGAGGCCUAUCUGGUGCUCAGAAAAGCUUCCUAAGUAAGAAUGCAGGUGUCUCACAUUAAGAAGGGAACCUUCUGUCCAUCUCCAGCUUAAGUAUCAACGUAUCCAGCAGCCUCAAGUCUAUCCAAACCUUAUUCAUUUUUCCCCACUUUGUUUUCAUAAUUUGACCACAGAACUGAGCGUCAAGUAUAUAUGAACCCAAGUUGUUUGUUCUCUUGUAGUUUGUUUUAGUGUUGUUCUUUCAGAUUAUAAUCUCAGGGCAGGAGUUCUGUCAAAAUUCUCACUUGAUCUUAAAAAGCCAAUUACAGGGCAAGAUGAAAAGUGGCUUCUUAGUAAACAUUUGCUAGCUUGAUACCUGACUCCACUCCUGCCUAUUAAAAGCAUUUCGCUUGAAAGUAUGCAAUGGUUAGAAGCAUCUAGAAAGUCGAGGUCUGAUGAUUUCACACACAUAUUUUGGGGUGCUAAAUUAAAGCUCUCCUUUGUAAAACAGUGCAUGAUGUCUUGGUGCUCUCAGGAUUGAAUGGUGAACAUACUGGCAGAGGCAAUUUCAGAUCCAAGUGAAAGACAGUUUUCACCUGGUGGUAAGGGUAGAUGUGUACUGAAACAACAAUCUAGGGCCGUCUUCUUUGUACCACAAGCUUAAUAAUUUGUAUGGCUAUGCUGUCUUCUUAGCUGCUUGCUGGUGGUGAAAAUCAGUUAUUUUCACUGGCUGAUUGACAGUUGGCCAGCACUGACCCUUCUGAAGACCUGUAUUUAUUUCUUGGAGGGGGUACCCUUGGUUUUAUUUUAUUCCUUUUGCGCCCUCACCCUACUUCAUGCCUUGCUGGGAAUAGGAACAGUGGUGCAGACUUAAGAGAAGAGGCCAAGGAAGAGCAAGUGAAAUCUGCUGGUCACCGUAGAUUUAAGCCCUUAGGAGACAGGGUUGUGUUUCUCCUCCUGGCAGAGUUGCAAUGAGACAAUGUCUAUCAAAUACAAGAAGAGUGGCUGAGUUCAAGGAGGGGUAGAAAUCUGUCAAUGAAAAAUUCUAUAUCACAUUGAAGUUUGGUCAUAGAAGGUAGCUUCUGGUGUUCUGCCCCCUAACCAUGGCAUGCCAUGAUUUAGUCCGUAAUGGACACAGCUUAGUGGAGUUUGUUUCAUCUCCAAACUUCACUCAUUGUUUAAAGAUACUGGCUAGGUGUCAGCACAGCCUGGGCCAGGGAGAGACGAUGGCCCAUUAGUCAUCAUCUGUCAUGCCUAUGGACUGUAGGGACCAGAGCAUUUACACUCAGAAUCACAGAGAUAAUUAGCACAUUGAUGUCAUUGUUCCUAACCACUGAGGCCAUUGAUCCUGUCCCCAGCCUGACUUGAAGGUCUUUGGGAGUUCAGCCAGCCUCCCAACCUGCCUACCACUUUGUUCUAAGAAUCCUACUCAACAGUGGCUUGCAUUUUCUGCUUCUAAGUGGCUUUGCGAUUAUGUAGAAAUUCAUGACGUGAUUUUGUCCUGAUUGAAUAAAGUGCAUCACUUGGUAUAAGGCCUGUGUCUGCCUAUUCCAUUUGAGCUGUAUAUUUUUCAAUGAAGUGGGAUUGUGGUCUCAAUUCAAAUUUUUUUUUUCUAUUGCUUCUACUGCACCAUGAUGGAGCUAAAGAGAAAUGCCUCAUUCAUGAUUAUCAGCUAUGCAAAGAAUGUUCCUUGUGAUGUCUAUGCUAAGCUAGGUUUAGAAGGAAAGAGUAAAAUUUUCCUCAUGGUCUCUCCUUCCUCAGCACUUGCAUGCUUGGCUGUUGGCUGCAUUUCUUGCAGUGUGUGAGGCUGGCACAUCUGGAAAAAUCCUCACUGCCUUCUUAACAACACACCUUUUUGAGGCGCGACAUUAUCAUUCCUCCUUACAGGUGAAUAAACUGAAAUUUAGAUUCAGAGAGGUUGCACAACAUACUCAAAGCACCAGACACAGAAGAAAUGUAAAUUUCCCAAGGACCUAAAAACUGUAAAUGUUGGAGCCAGGACUGAACACAGGCCUCUGGGCUCUACAGUCAUAGCCCUUAAUACAGAAGCCUGUCUAAAUGCUUUGCAAAAUUAAUGAAAAGAUGGUCCAUACCAUGUCUUAGAUGACUUUGCAAUAUAUUUGAAGAGCUAGGAUAUAUAGACCUUAGACAUAAAAAAG
Molecule: long non-coding RNA, 2857 nt
Filed under: Homo sapiens (human)
Lineage: Eukaryota; Metazoa; Chordata; Mammalia; Primates; Hominidae
Description: HSALNT0300255
Source: RNAcentral